UAGGGAUGGCAGCGGCAUCCUUUUGCGGAGUCCCGACGCUUCGGGACGAAGCAAAAGAUAUAGCGAACAGCCCGGCCGCGG
RNAcentral lists this small RNA (81 nucleotides) under Flavobacterium caeni. Its description in RNAcentral is "Flavo-1 RNA". The stretch from base 3 to 74 matches the Rfam family "Flavo-1 RNA", at positions 9 to 69 of the family's 76-position model. Lineage: Bacteria; Pseudomonadati; Bacteroidota; Flavobacteriia; Flavobacteriales; Flavobacteriaceae. The record is from RNAcentral.